CGGCGGACCCCUCCCUGCCGGUGACUCCUCGAGGCCUCCAGCCCGGUGCUGUCUUCCCGGUCCCUCGCCGAGGACCCCCCAAGCCCAGGUGCUUUGAGAAUGGGCUGCUCAGCCUUGCUGAUCUCGGUGGAGGGGCGACUCGGUGGGGCCCUGGACGUGCGCGGGCCUCUGCCACUUUCUGUAGUGAGGAUCUAACCCAGGGGCACAUGCGUGCCAGGAUAGCUCUGUUUGCUGCACUGUGUUUGAGUCUUAAAGCAUAACUUAAAAAAGGAUACAUUUACUUUCAUGGCGAUGAGUAUUUUGUGUGCAUGAGGACCACUGAAAUAGAGCCCUGCAGAGAACACCAGGACGUGAUGGCUGGCUAUUGUACCUGGAGUCGGCAGGGGAAGGAAAGAAGCUGCGUGUUCCCUGUGCCUUCCGUAUGGACACUGCCAUUCCUGGGCUCUAGAAAGGUCUUCACGGCAGGUGUUUCUCACUAUCCUUGUUUGAUGAAGAACCCAAAGCUUGACAUGAAGUGACUAAUUAGAAGUCACAAAGUUGGUGUGGGCUCUGAGUCCAGUUGUUGUCUGCUUUCUCCAACAGAACUUGUAAAACUAACAGAAGGAUCUUUGUGGAAUCUCAGUGUAGUGACACUUUUGUUUUGUUUUGUUUUUUGAGACAGAGUUUCUCUGUGUAGUCCUGGCUGUCC
This is a long non-coding RNA of Myodes glareolus (Bank vole), 688 nucleotides long. RefSeq lists it as uncharacterized. NCBI's taxonomy places the organism in Eukaryota, Metazoa, Chordata, Mammalia, Rodentia, Cricetidae. The record is from RefSeq and is a predicted model, not a curated record.